AUCCAGCUGACGAGUCCCAAAUAGGACGAAACGCGAGUGCAGGAU
RNAcentral lists this non-coding RNA (45 nucleotides) under Schistosoma margrebowiei. The record is from RNAcentral. Lineage: Eukaryota; Metazoa; Platyhelminthes; Trematoda; Strigeidida; Schistosomatidae.